Molecule: long non-coding RNA, 3799 nt
Filed under: Sus scrofa (pig)
Lineage: Eukaryota; Metazoa; Chordata; Mammalia; Artiodactyla; Suidae
Description: lncRNA (ENSSSCG00030047896.1)
Rfam family: Small nucleolar RNA SNORD50 (bases 412-485)
Source: RNAcentral
UUUACGUCGGGACUCAAGGGUUUGUUAGGUUGUGCUAGGAGCGAUGGCUCUCGGUGUAACGGAGCUCUUAAGUGAAGAUGCUGAGAGGAAAAGGAAGAGUGCAAAACAUAGGGGAGAAUGUUUGCUGGAAAACGACAUGGUUAAAACCUAACGAUCUUAGCAGGUAUGUGUUUAGCUAGUAUUUUGAGUCUGCAUAUGCUUUUUCCAUAGACAGGUUAAAUGAGUUUUGGGUUUUUUUUCUUGUGCUCAAAACAGCAUCCUGCAGGUUGUUGAUUGCUAAUGAAGUUAUGGAUAUCUCUGAUGGCAGCGUCAUUCUGAAGUAAGUUAUGUGGCUUACAACAUCUAUAGUAUUUCUAACGUACUUUUAAUGUUGCUUUGGUUUAUGGUAAAUCACUGGUAGUGCUUUGGUCUGAUCAAUGAUGAAACCUAUCCCGAAGCUGAUUACCUGAAGAAAAAAAAGCACAUACGGAUUCGGCUUCUGAGAUAAGACCAAUGUGCAGAUGUGAAGUUAUUGGUGCCUGGAUUUUAUAAUUUGAGAAGUUUGUUACAUUGUGUCUUUUUUUUUUUUUUCCCCUCUGCCAACAGUGAGGGGUCGCUGUCUGCCUAUUGAAAGAGGCCAGAUUGCUGUGAAGUUCCUGAGAUAUUUCUGGCUAAUGCCACAAGAUUUACCGGUAUGUCGUGUGAAAAACUAAGGAAAAGCUCUUCAUUUUAUGGAUAUGGAAAGAAAAAUCAAGAUGGAUUAUAUUUUUUUUAAUUAUCCAGUCUUUAAUUAGUUAAGUAAAACUAGUUAAACUUUUUAAAAUCAAUUUUGAAUGAAUACCCUUUGGUUACAAGCUGUUUGAAUGUAAAAUGCGUCAUGGUGAUUAUAGCCAAAUGAAGGUUUUUACUAUUAUAGAAAGUUACUAAGAUGAGAGCAGAGUGGACAGAACAUAUUCCUGGGAUUGGGCUGGAAAGAAAGCCCACCAUCAAUAAUCAUUACUGGCUGAAUUAUGGAAUAUUUAGUCUUAGUGUAACAGUAUUGUGUAUUUAUUUAUGGUAUUAAGGUGUUUAUUCUGAAAACGAAGAAAGCACAAUAUAGCAAGUCAUGAGGAAGGUCACUGAUGAAAUGUAGUUUAAAAUUGUACAGACAUCCUGAAUGAAUAUAAGUGUUAAGUAAUUAAUACCAUCUGAUGUAACCAAGGUGGUUGGGCCCCAUGCAUAAUCAUUUUCCCUAAAUAGCUACAUGAAUAAAUUUUUCCCAAUCCAAGUAAGAAUGCCAAUAUUUAUAGUCAUCAUUAAUAAACCUAAAAUUUCCUUAGUGAAAAUUUGGAUCCCACGCAUGCAGCUCAGGGAGAGGUUUAUGAAACUGAUAAGGCUGUAGUUGAAUACUUUCCCAAGUAUCAAAACAGUAUACAAAAUAGCAUCUCUGGGAAUGUUUCCUUGGCAGCCAUAAACUACCCAUGUGUUGCAUUUAUUACAUGUAUUUAACAUUGCAGUCUACGCUCUUAUGACUGAUCUCCCUUACCCUGCUUUAUUUGGAAUAUAUAUUCUAGAAGACCUGUUUCAAACACAGACAUCCUAAGUACAUAGAAACCUUAAAUAUCUGGCUCUUGGUUAGAACAAAGAAUGGAUGGUAAUUUUACCCAAAAAAUAUAGUGAUCAAAGAUAAAUUGGUACCCACACAAAACUUUAAGGGGAAAAAAAUACAUUUCUCUAAAACCUCAGUUAAUGUACAUUACUGCACCGUGCGUUGUGUACAACAGUUGUACACAAUGCCAAGAGAAAAGGCAAAGUACAGGAAACAAGAACAGUGCAGAAUAAGGAUGUUAAAGUGAUACAUUUGGGCAUAUGAAACACUAACCAAAGAUAUGCUUCAGAAUUGGAUCCCCAAAGGUACAAUUCCAAUGGAACUUGAAAGCUCAACAUAGAAGUUUCCAUUAAGAUUACUAAUUGAUUCAAACCUAUUACUAAACAAGGUGUACUAAUGUCAUGAUGGUGUCUUUCACACAGCACAGAUAUACUUAAUUGGUAAUAUAUAAAAAAUAAGGCAACUAAAUAAGACCAGGGACCUUAAGCUGUUACCUGUGUAAGGGAUUUAAACUUCCAGAACCAAUCUGCAACUUAAUGGACUUAGUGGAGAUCCUAAAAUGUACGGAUCUGCUGUUUGGACUGGUUUUGUGAUAAACAUAUAGAACACAGUCUACAUUUGUGUGAUGUUACUGACUAGCCAGUAAGAAUUUUCUCUCUGCUUUACACCAUUCUUUCUGAUUGCAUUAAACAGUAGGCUCAAUCCUACCAUUUGGUGUUUUGUUUUCCUUCCCAUUUGAUAUUUUCUAAAAUAAGUUCUAUUGUCAGAAAUUACAGCAUCCACUGCACUUGGAAUCCCAAUCAAGUGCCCUCUGAACUGAUUAUACACUUCAUAAUCCUUGCUGUUUGCCCAGCCUGUGUGAAAGUUUUUGACCACUUUUCAAGGGUUUUAGAACCUCUAAAUCCCAGCCUACCAGGAUAGUCUGCUUGUCUUGCCAUUUUCUCCUUCCCAUCUUUCCUUCCAAAAGCUUGAUUCCAGAUCAAUGAUUUGCACUUGUCACUGAAUAAUUACUGAAUAUAGCCACUGCCUCUGGCCUUGUUCCACCUCACCAAUUCUACAUUUUGGGGUAUGUACAGAGAUGAGGUCAAAAUACAAGUGUUCUAUGAAGUUCUGAAAUUUUUGUGGACCAUCUUGGGGUCAGGGGAGAAGGUAUCUUUCCAAUACUUGGUUUCAUUGUUGCAAAUCCUGUCCUCUUGGAAUUACCACUAGUCCACUCUGAGCUCCUGGCAUGCCAUGCAGCUGAGUUGUAACAGGAAGCAGAUUUAAUCUGACAGAAUCCCACAUCAAGUAAAGUAUAAUCCAGUGUAUUUGGAAAACUUAAUAGUUACGCUUACUCAAUUGAUUCUAGUUCUCUUUCAAAAGAGUAUUAAGGUGAGUUCCUGUGUGGAUCAGCGUAAAUGAAUCUGACUGGUGUCCAUGAGGACUCAGGUUCUAUCCCUGGCCUCACUCUGCGUUAAGAAUCCGGCAUUGCCAGGAGCUGUGGUAUAGGUCUCGGACACAGCUUGGAUCUGGUGUUGCUGUGGCUGUUGUGUAGGCUGGCAGCUACAGCUCCUAGCCUGGAAACUUACAUAUGUGGUGGGUGCAGCCCUAAAAAAAAAAAAUGUGUUAAUGAGAAGAGCAUUUCAGGAUACUCAAAAUUCAUCAUUUGAGGAAAAUAAUAGAAAUACAGUGCAUUACUGAGGUCAGGGAACUUAAUGUGUCCUUCCCUGUAGUGCUGAAUAUAAAGUACAAUAAAUGGUCUUUUUUGUGUGUGCGUGUGUUUUUUGUUUUUUUAAGGGCCAUACGGUGGUAUAUGGAAGCUCCCAAGCUAAGGGUUGAGUCAGAGCUGCCAGUGCCAGCCUACACCACAGCCAUAGCAACAUGGGAUCCAACCACAUCUGCAACCUACACUACAUCUCAUGGCAACUCUGGAUCCUUAACCCACUGAGCCAGGCCAGGGAUUGAACCUGAAUCCUCACAGAGACAACAUCGGGUCCCUAACCUGCUGUGCCACAGUAGGAACUCCAGUCUUUGGAAUUCUUCUGUCUCGCAGCAGGUUAAGAAUCCAAAAUUGUCACUGCAGUGGCUUCGGUCCCUGCUGUGGCACAGUUUCAGUCCCUGGCCUGGGAAACUCCACAUGUCCCGGGUGCAGCAAAAGAAACAAAAGGUCUAUUUUCUUUUUUAUCAUUAUUAUUUUAUGAUUUUUUUUCCCAUUGUAGCUGGUUUACAGUGUUCUGUCAAUUUUCUACUGUA